GGAGGGGACCAUCGGAAACUAGGAGGACGUAGAGUACCAGUAGAGGAGAGUGGAAUUCGACGGGAGCGGUGAAACGAGUAGAGAUGUGCAGGUACACCAGUCGCGAAGGCGACUCUCUGGUCUGUAACUGACGCUGAGGUGCGAAAGCGUGGGUAGCGAUCAGGAUUAGAUACCCUGGUAGUACACGCACUAAACGAUGAGUGCUAGGUGUUAGGGGGUUUCCGCCCUUUAGUGUUGAAGUUAACUCAUUAAGCACUCCGCGUGGGGAGUACUGCGGCAAGGCUGAAACUCAAAAGAAUUGACGGGGACCCGCACAAGCGGUGGAGCAUGUGGUUUAAUUAGAAGCAACGCGAAGAACCUUACCAGGUCUUGACAUCUUUUGACACCCCCAGAGAUAGGGCAUUCCUUUUGGGGACAGAGUGACUGGUGGUGCAUGGUUGUCGUCAGCUAUUGUAAUGAGAUGUUGGGUUAAGUCCCGCAACGAGCGCAACCCUUGAUCUUAGUUGCCAGCAUUUAGUUGGGCACUCUAAGGUGACUGCCGGUGACAAACCGGAGGAAGGUGGGGAUGACGUCAAAUCAUCAUGCCCCUUAUGACCUGGGCUACACACCUGUUACAAUGGAUGGAACAAAGGGCAGCGAAGCCGCGAGGCCAAGCAAAUCCCAUAAAACCAUUUUCAGUUUGGAUUGCAGGCUGCAAUUUGCAUGCAUGAAGCCGGAAUCGUUUAGUAAUCGUGGAUCAGCAUGCCGCGGUGAAUACGUUCCCGGGUCUUGUACACACCGCCCGUCACACCACGAGAUUUGGUAACACCGGAAGUCGGUGGGGUAACCUUUCCAGCCAGCCGCACGAAGGCGG
RNAcentral lists this ribosomal RNA (853 nucleotides) under Virgibacillus pantothenticus. RNAcentral's name for it is "bacterial SSU rRNA". It matches the Rfam family "Bacterial small subunit ribosomal RNA", at positions 615 to 1465 of the family's 1533-position model. The record is from RNAcentral. Lineage: Bacteria; Bacillati; Bacillota; Bacilli; Caryophanales; Bacillaceae.